RNAcentral lists this long non-coding RNA (2488 nucleotides) under Salvia miltiorrhiza (redroot sage). RNAcentral's name for it is "long non-coding RNA (SMIL_LNC006981)". Lineage: Eukaryota; Viridiplantae; Streptophyta; Magnoliopsida; Lamiales; Lamiaceae. The record is from RNAcentral.
AAAAGGUGAUAGCGUCCGGGCCAAACAACUGCUUCAAGAAAUUGUCUACACUAAACGAAUUGUUCGUUGGUUUUCCAUUCUUCAAGUUUGAGCCAGACGGAUUCUGAGCGUGUAGCUACGGCAGAAGCUGAUAAAAACUGCUUCAAUAUUUAUUUUGAGUGAAAUACUAGCUUUGGAGCUAAUGUCAAUGAAUUAAAUUGGUUUAUAUUUUGUGUCUGAAAUACUAGUUUUCUGUAAUACAGUAUGAUAUUCUCACCAACUGCUUCAUACAAUAAUAGCUCCAUCUCUUGUAUUCAUAGCUCUUCUCUUUUGAACUCAACACAACAUGUUUUUGAUAAGUCCAAACAGUCAUGGAGCUUAAUUUCACAAACAUCCCAGAUUCACUCUGCAAGAGGAAUAAUAGAGAUGAGGCUUAAAGCAAAUGAUUAAGAAUGUACAUCAAAACAUAAUCGGUUGCAAAUUUAAGUAAAUGCAACUCUAUUUAAAGAUUAAAAUCAUCCUAGCAGAAUUGAUCAACAAAGAAAAUGCCAAGUCUUUGAUAUGCUCAUCAGUUGUGAACCCAUAAUUAUAAAAAGAAAAGCAAAAACAUUUCCAAUGAAUAUACGUAACAGGACUGAAAUAGUUCAGAAUCAUGCACAAGAUGAAAGGUAAUGAAAAUUGACAGAUCCAAUNAAAAAGAUAUGGGAUGCAUGAAUCUACAUUUUAGCUAAAAACUGAAAAUGAAAAGCAAAGUCGAACAUACACAUACUUCCUUCAGUGAUGAAAAAUAAAGCUUCACAACUUUGUAAGCAGGAUCGAGGUUAUCAAACUAUAUUCUGUAUCAAUACAAAAAAGAAUUAAUGGAAAAAAAAAAAAGCUAAGAUGAUGAUUCGCUGUAAAAAUAUAGUAAACAAACUCAAAAUAAUUAAAUCUCCUAUUGCAUGUUUAAGCAUAUUGAGAUGAAGUGCGGCACCAAACUAAGGGAUGAGAUCCAUGGUUCCACAAUUUUAUGUAUGUCACUAUAUUGCUUUCUUAUAGAACUUACUUGUAAGAUUCUAAUGGUGACGCAAAUUGAAACUUUGUUGUGUUAUUUGAUAUGCUCAACAUGCUUUCAUUGGUGUUGAUGGGAUUGGGUUCAACUCUGUUUCACUAUCUUCAUCUUCAACAUUGCUCUCUGAAUUUCACAUUUCAGCAUUAAGUAAUACCACUUUUGUGUCUAUGGGCAUAAAUAGUGAUGUGAAUUCUUAGUUUAGACAACUGUUUCUAUAGAUAUAGAAGUGAUCUACUCAAAAUGAUUGCUUACAAUGAUUAUUAAAGUUAAUUUGAGUCUUUGAGAAUCAUAUCAAUUGUGUAACAAAUUGGUAUGCAAACAUGCAUCUUCUUUAACCCUCGACAUAAUAAUCCUAUCAACUAAAGUUUAAACAAAGAAUACAUAUGGAAUUACAAAAAAAAUUAUGAAAAGAGGUUGAGCAAGUCGUAAUGAAGAAAAUGGAUACUCACUCAUUCCUUCUUCACUAGGUCGCUUGCUUCACCUCCUAAUUCUGUAGAAGCACCUCAAAGUCAAACACAACUGUUUGCUUCUUUUACUUUCUUCUGUUUCACUUUGUUCCCUUUCACUUAUUUCUCUUUCAGUAAUUAAUGGGAAAAGGCUGAAUCCACGAUUCGCUGUAAAAAAGUAGCAAACAAACUCAGAAUAAUUAAUCUCCUAUUGUUUAAGCAUAUUGAGUUGAAGUGGAACACCAAACUAAGGAUGAGAUCCAUUGUCCACGGUUUUAUGCAUGUGAUAUAUCUAUUAUUUUUAAAAUAUUUUUUAUACAAAUAACAUUAUAAUACUAUGAAUUAUUCUUAAUUAUUAUUUCAAAAAAAUAUUUUUUUACAAAAUUAUAUACCAUAAUUUAAGAAUUUUCAACCUAUUACUAUUAACUACUCUCUCCGUCCACUAAUUGUUGGCCUAAGAGGCAAAACACGGGUUUUAAGAAAAAGUGUAGUUUUAUUAGUUGAGUGGAGAAAGGGACCCACAAUUUAUUAAAGUCAAUGUAAUUAGGUCAUAAUUUAUUAAAGGGACCCACAAUUUUGAUUAAAAUAUGAAUAUAAACUUACCCAAAAUAGAUAGGACAUAAAUUGGUGGACGGACCAAAAAGGCAAGUAGGCCAACAAUUAAUGGACGGAGGGAGUAAUAAAAGUGAAAUUAAAUGAUUAAAAAAUAAUUAUAUACCUUAAUUAGAUAGAAUGAACUCUAAUUAAUAAUCACAAAAUUAAACUAAAUCACUAAAAUUUGAAAUUUGAGAAAAAUAUAUAAAAAAUAAAAAAAUUGAAAGUGGGACAUCAAGUGGGGUCGCUGAAUCUCAAUCCCCAAGCUAAUAGCAACUGAAUUAGAAUCUCUAUAAAAUAAGAUAAUAGAUUAUACUAAUUAGAAUUUUUUUNCAAAUAAAUACACAUGCAACUGUUUCUAGAAAAGAUAUUGAUACUCACGGUCGUCGGCGAUGCAUGAGGGGCCGGUCAUCAAUUU